Molecule: non-coding RNA, 101 nt
Organism: Cytidiella melzeri
Lineage: Eukaryota; Fungi; Basidiomycota; Agaricomycetes; Polyporales; Irpicaceae
Source: the annotation of a GenBank genome assembly
AGCAACUUGGCGCAGGGGUAGCGCGCGGGGCUCAUAUCGACGGUCAGCGACCUCGAGAUUAUGUAACCCCGAGGUCACUCGAUCGAAACGAGUAGUUGCUA